AAAGAAAUCGUUAAGGGCGUAUGGCGGAUGCCUAGGCUUUCAGAGGCGACGAAGGACGUGGUAAGCUGCGAAAAGCUACGGGGAUUGGCACACACGAAUUGAUCCGUAGAUAUCCGAAUGGGGCAACCCAAUACAUUGAAGAUGUAUUACCUCGUAAGAGGGGCAAACCCGGAGAACUGAAACAUCUAAGUACCCGGAGGAAAAGAAAUCGAAGAGAUUCCGUAAGUAGUGGCGAGCGAAAGCGGAUUAGCCCAAAAGUCUUUAUAUAUUUAGAAGAAUGUUCUGGAAAGAACAGCCAUAGACGGUGAUAGCCCGGUAUUCGAAAGGUAUAUUUGGAUGAUAAAUGAGUAGGGCGGGACACGUGAAAUCCUGUCUGAAUAUGGGGGGACCAUCCUCCAAGGCUAAAUACUCCUGAAAGACCGAUAGUGAACAAGUACUGUGAAGGAAAGGUGAAAAGCACUUCGAAUAGAAGGGUGAAAUAGAACCUGAAACCGUACGCCUACAAGCGGUCGGAGCAGCGUAAAGCUGUGACGGCGUGCCUUUUGCAUAAUGAGCCUACGAGUUAAUUUUACUAGCGAGGUUAAGUAAUUAAGUUACGGAGCCGGAGCGAAAGCGAGUCUGAAUAGGGCGCAUAGUUAGUAGGAUUAGACGCGAAACCUUGUGAUCUACCCAUGGGCAGGUUGAAGCUCUGGUAACACAGAGUGGAGGACCGAACCGGUUGACGUUGAAAAGUCUUCGGAUGACCUGUGGGUAGGGGUGAAAGGCCAAUCAAACUGGGAGAUAGCUCGUACUCUCCGAAAUGCAUUUAGGUGCAGCGUCGCAACAAAGUUUAUUAGAGGUAGAGCUACUGAUUGGAUGCGGGGGUUUCACCGCCUACCAAUUCCUGACAAACUCCGAAUGCUAAUAAAUGUUUUGCGGCAGUGAGGGCAUGGGUGCUAAGGUCCAUGUCCGAGAGGGAAAGAACCCAGACCAACAGCUAAGGUCCCCAAAUAUAUGUUAAGUUGAAGCAACGCGGUUGGACUGCAUUGACAGCUAGGAUGUUGGCUUGGAAGCAGCCAUUCAUUUAAAGAGUGCGUAACAGCUCACUAGUCGAGCGGUCCGGCAUGGAUAAUAAUCGGGCAUAAACAUAUUACCGAAGCUAUGGAUUUAUAUUUUAUAAUAUAUCUGGUAGGAGAGCAUUCUAUUUGCGCCGAAGCAGUACUGUGAGGUAUUGUGGAGCGGAUAGAAAAGAAAAUGUAGGCAUAAGUAACGAUAAAGGGGGCGAGAAACCCCCUCACCGAAAGACCAAGGCUUCCUCAGCCAUGCUAAUCAGCUGAGGGUUAGUCGGGACCUAACGCGAACCCGAAAGGGGUAGUGGAUGGACACAGGGUUAAUAUUCCCUGACUUGCUCACGAUAAAAGGGGACGGUUGGAUGUAUCUGCUGGAGACUGACGGAAUAGUCAAGGCCUAGCCUUCGGGCGAAGCUGCUGUAGAGUAAUCUGAUCCAAGAAAAGCCGAAGUGAAGCAACCCGUACCAAAACCGACACAGGUGGUCGAGGAGAGAAUCCUAAGGUGCUCGAGUGAGUCGUGGCUAAGGAACUAGGCAAAAUAGUCUCGUAACUUCGGAAGAAGAGACGCCUCCCUCCGGGGAGGCCGCAGUGAAGAGGCCCAGGCGACUGUUUAUCAAAAACACAGGACUCUGCUAAAUCGAAAGAUGCUGUAUAGGGUCUGACACCUGCCCGGUGCUGGAAGGUUAAGGAAGGUGCUUAGCGUAAGCGAAGGCAUUAACUGAAGCCCCAGUAAACGGCGGCCGUAACUAUAACGGUCCUAAGGUAGCGAAAUUCCUUGUCGGGUAAGUUCCGACCUGCACGAAUGGUGUAACGAUCUGGGCACUGUCUCAGCCACGAGCUCGGUGAAAUUGUAGUAUCGGUGAAGAUGCCGAUUACCCGCAAUGGGACGAAAAGACCCUGUGAACCUUUACUAUAACUUCGUAUUGACUUUGAGUAAGUAAUGUGUAGGAUAGGUGGGAGGCUUUGAAGCAGGCACGCUAGUGUUUGUGGAGCCGUCGUUGAAAUACCACCCUUUACUUACUUGGAGCCUAACUUCCUAUGGAAGGACAUUGCGUGGUGGGUAGUUUGACUGGGGUGGUCGCCUCCAAAAGAGUAACGGAGGCUUUCAAAGGUACCCUCAGCACGCUUGGUAACCGUGCGUAGAGUGUAAUGGCAUAAGGGUGCUUGACUGUGAGACCAACAAGUCGAUCAGGUGCGAAAGCAGGACAUAGUGAUCCGGUGGUUCCGUAUGGAAGGGCCAUCGCUCAUAGGAUAAAAGGUACUCCGGGGAUAACAGGCUAGUCUCCCCCAAGAGCUCACAUCGACGGGGAGGUUCGGCACCUCGAUGUCGGCUCGUCACAUCCUGGGGCUGGAGAAGGUCCCAAGGGUUGGGCUGUUCGCCCAUUAAAGUGGCACGCGAGCUGGGUUCAGAACGUCGUGAGACAGUUCGGUCUCUAUCUAUUGCGGGCGUUAGAUGUUUGAGAGGGCUUGAUUCUAGUACGAGAGGACCGAAUUGAACAAACCUCUGGUGUAUCAGUUGUACCGCCAGGUGCACCGCUGAGUAGCUACGUUUGGAAGAGAUAAGCACUGAAAGCAUAUAAGUGCGAAACUCGCCUCAAGAUGAGACAUCUUUUAAGGGUCGUUGUAGAUGACAACGUUGAUAGGCUAUAGGUGUAAAGGCAGUAAUGUCAUAGCCGAGUAGUACUAAUUACCCGUAGAUUUAUAGCCU
This 2757-nucleotide ribosomal RNA is filed under the name Chryseobacterium gallinarum. RNAcentral's name for it is "bacterial LSU rRNA". It matches the Rfam family "Bacterial large subunit ribosomal RNA". The record is from RNAcentral. Lineage: Bacteria; Pseudomonadati; Bacteroidota; Flavobacteriia; Flavobacteriales; Weeksellaceae.